Molecule: ribosomal RNA, 254 nt
Filed under: uncultured bacterium
Lineage: Bacteria
Description: partial 16S ribosomal RNA
Rfam family: Bacterial small subunit ribosomal RNA
Source: RNAcentral
UACGUAGGGAGCGAGCGUUGUCCGGAUUCAUUGGGCGUAAAGAGCUCGUAGGCGGCUUGGCAAGUCGGGUGUGAAAACUCCAGGCUCAACCUGGAGACGCCACCCGACACUGCCAUGGCUAGAGUCCGGUAGGGGACCACGGAAUUCCUGGUGUAGCGGUGAAAUGCGCAGAUAUCAGGAAGAACACCUAUGGCGAAGGCAGCUCUCUGGGACGGUACUGACGCUGAGACGCGAAAGCGUGGGGAGCGAACAGG